AUCACUGUACAGCUCAAUCAUUCAGUACACAAUUAUGGAGCACAAAAUCUUGGGAUUCACAGUACUGUUGCUGGCUUCUCAAUAUUGUUGGUGUCAAACACUGACUGAGUCUGAGUCUGUAGUCAUGAAACCUGGAGAAUCCCAUAAGUUGGCAUGUACUGCUUCUGGUUUUAACUUUGCUGGCUCCUGGAUGGCUUGGAUCAGACAGAAGUCUGGAAAAGAGCUGGAAUGGCUGGCAUGGAUCAAAUAUGAUAGCCAGGAAAUGUAUUACUCUCAGUCUGUCCAAGGACGGUUCACCAUCUCCAGAGACAACAGUAGGGAGCAGGUGUAUCUGCAGAUGAACAGCCUGAAGAAUGAAUUUUGCUCAUUUUGGGUUUCAAUGCAAAUGAGCUGA
Non-coding RNA from Labeo rohita (rohu), 394 nucleotides. The record is from the annotation of a RefSeq genome assembly. Lineage: Eukaryota; Metazoa; Chordata; Actinopteri; Cypriniformes; Cyprinidae.